This 1114-nucleotide ribosomal RNA is filed under the name uncultured Flavobacterium sp. Its description in RNAcentral is "bacterial SSU rRNA". It matches the Rfam family "Bacterial small subunit ribosomal RNA", at positions 45 to 1185 of the family's 1533-position model. Lineage: Bacteria; Pseudomonadati; Bacteroidota; Flavobacteriia; Flavobacteriales; Flavobacteriaceae. The record is from RNAcentral.
AGCGCUACACAUGCAAGUCGAGGGGUAGUAAGUGCUUGCACUUAUGAGACCGGCGCACGGGUGCGUAACGCGUAUGCAAUCUACCUUGUACAGAGGGAUAGCCCAGAGAAAUUUGGAUUAAUACCUCAUAGUAUUAUUGAGUGGCAUCAUUUGAUAAUUAAAGUUCCAACGGUACAAGAUGAGCAUGCGUCCCAUUAGUUAGUUGGUAAGGUAACGGCUUACCAAGACUAUGAUGGGUAGGGGUCCUGAGAGGGAGAUCCCCCACACUGGUACUGAGACACGGACCAGACUCCUACGGGAGGCAGCAGUGAGGAAUAUUGGACAAUGGGCGCAAGCCUGAUCCAGCCAUGCCGCGUGCAGGAAGACGGUCCUAUGGAUUGUAAACUGCUUUUAUACAGGAAGAAACACCUCUACGUGUAGAGGCUUGACGGUACUGUAAGAAUAAGGAUCGGCUAACUCCGUGCCAGCAGCCGCGGUAAUACGGAGGAUCCAAGCGUUAUCCGGAAUCAUUGGGUUUAAAGGGUCCGUAGGCGGCCUUAUAAGUCAGUGGUGAAAUCUCCUAGCUCAACUAGGAAACUGCCAUUGAUACUGUAGGGCUUGAAUUAUUAGGAAGUAACUAGAAUAUGUAGUGUAGCGGUGAAAUGCUUAGAUAUUACAUGGAAUACCAAUUGCGAAGGCAGGUUACUACUAAUACAUUGACGCUGAUGGACGAAAGCGUGGGUAGCGAACAGGAUUAGAUACCCUGGUAGUCCACGCCGUAAACGAUGGAUACUAGCUGUUCGGAGCAAUCUGAGUGGCUAAGCGAAAGUGAUAAGUAUCCCACCUGGGGAGUACGAACGCAAGUUUGAAACUCAAAGGAAUUGACGGGGGCCCGCACAAGCGGUGGAGCAUGUGGUUUAAUUCGAUGAUACGCGAGGAACCUUACCAAGGCUUAAAUGGGAAACGACAGAUUUGGAACAGAUUUUUCUUCGGACGUUUUUCAAGGUGCUGCAUGGUCGUCAGCUCGUGCCGUGAGGUCAGGUAGUCCUAUACGAGCGCACCCUGUCGCAGCAGUCUGUGUAACACUGCCAGUGUAACUGUGGAAAGGAAGACACACCACGCUAAGGAAUAUCGA